Molecule: ribosomal RNA, 491 nt
Filed under: uncultured bacterium
Lineage: Bacteria
Description: SSU rRNA
Rfam family: Bacterial small subunit ribosomal RNA
Source: RNAcentral
AGGACGAACGCUGGCGGCGCGCCUAACACAUGCAAGUCGAGCGAGAACCGGGGCUUCGGUCCCGGGGACAGCGGCGAACGGGUGCGUAACACGUGAGCAACCUGCCCCGAAGACCGGGACAACCCGAGGAAACUCGGACUAAUACCGGAUGUCCUCACCGGAUCGCAUGGUCUGGUGAGGAAAUGGAUUCCGCUUUGGGAUGGGCUCGCGGUCUAUCAGCUUGUUGGUGGGGUAACGGCCUACCAAGGCGACGACGGAUAGCUGGUCUGAGAGGACGAUCAGCCACACUGGGACUGAGAUACGGCCCAGACUCCUACGGGAGGCAGCAGUGGGGAAUCUUGCGCAAUGGCCUAACGGCUGACGCAGCGACGCCGCGUGUGGGAUGAAGCUCCUCGGAGUGUAAACCACUGUUGCCCGGGACGAAUAGCUCGAUUAAUCGAGCCUGACGGUACCGGUGAGGAAGCACCGGCUAACUCCGUGCCAGCAGCCGC